This 352-nucleotide unclassified non-coding RNA is filed under the name soil metagenome. RNAcentral describes it as "partial contains 5.8S ribosomal RNA, internal transcribed spacer 2, and large subunit ribosomal RNA". The stretch from base 1 to 120 matches the Rfam family "5.8S ribosomal RNA", at positions 35 to 154 of the family's 154-position model. The record is from RNAcentral.
GAUGAAGAACGCAGCGAAAUGCGAUAGCUAGUGUGAAUUGCAGAAUUCAGUGAAUCAUCGAAUCUUUGAACGCACAUUGCGCCCGCCAGUAUUCUGGCGGGCAUGCCUGUUCGAGCGUCAUUACAACCCUCAGGCCCCCGGGCCUGGCGUUGGGGAUCGGCGGAGCCCCCCGUGGGCACACGCCGUCCCCCAAAUACAGUGGCGGUCCCGCCGCAGCUUCCAUCGCGUAGUAGCUAACACCUCGCGACUGGAGAGCGGCGCGGCCACGCCGUAAAACACCCAACUCUUCUGAAGUUGACCUCGAAUCAGGUAGGAAUACCCGCUGAACUUAAGCAUAUCAAUAAGCGGAGGA